This 317-nucleotide ribosomal RNA is filed under the name uncultured eukaryote. RNAcentral's name for it is "partial large subunit ribosomal RNA". It matches the Rfam family "Eukaryotic large subunit ribosomal RNA", at positions 40 to 350 of the family's 3401-position model. The record is from RNAcentral.
AUAUUAUUAAGCGGAGGAAAAGAAACUAACCAGGAUUCCCCUAGUAACGGCGAGUGAAGCGGGAAGAGCUCAACCCGAAAAUCUGUGCGUCUAGCGACGCACCGAAUUGUGGGCUUGCAACGUCCAAUCAGCGUGUGACCCGGGUAUAGAUCCUUUGAAACAGGGUAUCAUAGAGGGUGAGAAUCCCGUCUGUGACCUGGAGUUCGCCGCGUACGAUUGACGUUUAUUGAGUCGAAUAGCUUGGGAAUGCUGUUCUAAUUAGGUGGUAAAUUUCAUCUAAAGCUAAAUACUGACGAGAGACCGAUAGCGCACAAGUA